GAUGAUUUUUAUGGUGAGGAUGAUGAAGUAACUAGCACAGAUCGCUCUCCUUGUGCAAAACAGGGGUGCUGCGGCUGCGGUGAGCAUGAGCAACAGUCUGUGGAACUUACAGAAGAAGUUGCCAGUUCUGAUGGCACAUGCAAAAGGCAAAGAUUGCUAGAUGGUGGGUACAAGAAAUCAUCAUACAUAGAAUCUAGAUGGCCCAAUGAUGAUGUGGAAGCAAAAUGUGUUAGAGGCUCUCUUCCUUCUAGUGGGAAGGAUAAGGAUUCCAGUUUGAGCACUAGGGAAAGGAAAGUUAAAAUUCGUGAAACCUUGAGGGUUCUU
RNAcentral lists this unclassified non-coding RNA (324 nucleotides) under Hevea brasiliensis (rubber tree). The record is from RNAcentral. Lineage: Eukaryota; Viridiplantae; Streptophyta; Magnoliopsida; Malpighiales; Euphorbiaceae.